UACGGAGGGUGCGAGCGUUGUCCGGAAUCACUGGGCGUAAAGGGCGCGUAGGCGGGCCGACAAGUCCGGGGUGAAAGCCCCCAGCUCAACUGGGGAAGCGCCUUGGAUACUUUUGGCCUGGAGGGAGGUAGGGGCGUGCGGAACUUCCGGUGGAGCGGUGAAAUGCGUAGAUACCAUCCAGAACACCGAUUGCGGAGGCAGCCGGCUAACGCGCAACUGACACUGAGGCACGAAAGCGUGGGGAGCAAACAGG
This 253-nucleotide ribosomal RNA is filed under the name uncultured bacterium. RNAcentral's name for it is "partial 16S ribosomal RNA". It matches the Rfam family "Bacterial small subunit ribosomal RNA", at positions 524 to 776 of the family's 1533-position model. The record is from RNAcentral.